This 498-nucleotide ribosomal RNA is filed under the name uncultured bacterium. RNAcentral's name for it is "partial 16S ribosomal RNA". It matches the Rfam family "Bacterial small subunit ribosomal RNA", at positions 28 to 507 of the family's 1533-position model. The record is from RNAcentral.
GACGAACGCUGGCGGCGUGCCUAAUACAUGCAAGUCGAGCGGACGAUUCGAAAGCUUGCUUUUGAAUCGUUAGCGGCGGACGGGUGAGUAACACGUGGGCAACCUGCCCUGUAGACGGGGAUAACACCGAGAAAUCGGUGCUAAUACCGGAUAACACGAAAUGUCGCAUGACGUUUCGUUGAAAGGCGGCGCAAGCUGCCGCUACAGGAUGGGCCCGCGGCGCAUUAGCUAGUUGGUGAGGUAACGGCUCACCAAGGCGACGAUGCGUAGCCGACCUGAGAGGGUGAUCGGCCACACUGGGACUGAGACACGGCCCAGACUCCUACGGGAGGCAGCAGUAGGGAAUCUUCCGCAAUGGACGAAAGUCUGACGAAGCAACGCCGCGUGAGCGAAGAAGGCCUUCGGGUCGUAAAGCUCUGUUGUUAGGGAAGAACAAGUAACGUAGUAACUGACGUUACUAUGACGGUACCUAACGAGAAAGCCACGGCUAACUACGUG